GACGAACGCUGGCGGCGUGCUUAACACAUGCAAGUCGAACGGAAAGGCCCUGCUUUUGUGGGGUGCUCGAGUGGCGAACGGGUGAGUAACACGUGAGUAACCUGCCCUUGACUUUGGGAUAACUUCAGGAAACUGGGGCUAAUACCGGAUAGGAGCUCCUGCUGCAUGGUGGGGGUUGGAAAGUUUCGGCGGUUGGGGAUGGACUCGCGGCUUAUCAGCUUGUUGGUGGGGUAGUGGCUUACCAAGGCUUUGACGGGUAGCCGGCCUGAGAGGGUGACCGGCCACAUUGGGAUUGAGAUAAGGCCCAGACUACUACGGGAGGCAGAAGUGGGGAAUAGUGCACAAUGGGCGGAAGCCUGAUGCAGCAACGCCGCGUGCGGGAUGACGGCCUUCGGGUUGUAAACCGCUUUCGCCUGUGACGAAGCGUGAGUGACGGUAAUGGGUAAAGAAGCACCGGCUAACUACGUG
This 468-nucleotide ribosomal RNA is filed under the name uncultured bacterium. RNAcentral describes it as "partial 16S ribosomal RNA". It matches the Rfam family "Bacterial small subunit ribosomal RNA", at positions 28 to 507 of the family's 1533-position model. The record is from RNAcentral.